Molecule: ribosomal RNA, 506 nt
Filed under: uncultured Haloferula sp.
Lineage: Bacteria; Pseudomonadati; Verrucomicrobiota; Verrucomicrobiia; Verrucomicrobiales; Verrucomicrobiaceae
Description: partial 16S ribosomal RNA
Source: RNAcentral
CACGAAGUUAGCCGUCCCUUCCUCUUCGGGUACUAUCAACCCUGCCGGCUAUUUACCGUCAGGUCUUACUCCCCGAUGACAGGAGUUUACAAUCCGAAGACCUUCAUCCUCCACGCGGCGUUGCGCCAUCAGGGUUUCCCCCAUUGUGAAUUAUUCUCGACUGCUGCCACCCGUAGGUGUCUGGACCGUGUCUCAGUUCCAGUGUGCCUGAUCAUCCUCUCAGACCAGGUACCCCGUGUUGCCUUGGUGAGCCGUUACCUCACCAACAAGCUGAUAGGCCGCGAGCCAAUCCUGCAGCGGCAGCUUGCGCCACCUUUACCCUUGCGGGACCAUGGGGUAUUAAUCCGCCUUUCGGCGGGCUAUUCCCCACUGCAGGGCAUGUAACUCACGUGUUACGCACCCGUGCGCCACUGGAUGAAGCGGUAUUGCUACAACUUCACCCCGUUCGACUUGCAUGUCUUAAACACGCCGCCAGCGUUCGUUCUGAGCCAGGAUCAAACUCUCUA